CGAUAGCUCAGUUGGUAGAGCACGCGGCUGUUAACCGCGCUGUCGUAGGUUCGAGUCCUACUCGGGGA
This 68-nucleotide transfer RNA is filed under the name Eubacterium sp. Its description in RNAcentral is "tRNA-Asn". It matches the Rfam family "tRNA", at positions 5 to 66 of the family's 71-position model. Rfam says of the family: Transfer RNA (tRNA) molecules are approximately 80 nucleotides in length. Their secondary structure includes four short double-helical elements and three loops (D, anti-codon, and T loops). Further hydrogen bonds mediate the characteristic L-shaped molecular structure. tRNAs have two regions of fundamental functional importance: the anti-codon, which is responsible for specific mRNA codon recognition, and the 3' end, to which the tRNAs corresponding amino acid is attached (by aminoacyl-tRNA synthetases). tRNAs cope with the degeneracy of the genetic code in two manners: having more than one tRNA (with a specific anti-codon) for a particular amino acid; and 'wobble' base-pairing, i.e. permitting non-standard base-pairing at the 3rd anti-codon position. Lineage: Bacteria; Bacillati; Bacillota; Clostridia; Eubacteriales; Eubacteriaceae. The record is from RNAcentral.